UAAUGUAUCGGAACGUGCCCAGUCGUGGGGGAUAACUGCUCGAAAGAGCAGCUAAUACCGCAUACGACCUGAGGGUGAAAGCGGGGGAUCGCAAGACCUCGCGCGAUUGGAGCGGCCGAUAUCAGAUUAGGUAGUUGGUGGGGUAAAGGCUCACCAAGCCGACGAUCUGUAGCUGGUCUGAGAGGACGACCAGCCACACUGGGACUGAGACACGGCCCAG
This 220-nucleotide ribosomal RNA is filed under the name uncultured bacterium. RNAcentral describes it as "partial 16S ribosomal RNA". It matches the Rfam family "Bacterial small subunit ribosomal RNA", at positions 111 to 334 of the family's 1533-position model. The record is from RNAcentral.